This 867-nucleotide ribosomal RNA is filed under the name Triticum aestivum (bread wheat). RNAcentral's name for it is "partial small subunit ribosomal RNA". Lineage: Eukaryota; Viridiplantae; Streptophyta; Magnoliopsida; Poales; Poaceae. The record is from RNAcentral.
AUGGUUGAACUUAAUGAGGCCAGCCUCACGAACCUGAAGUUCCUUCUCCUAUGCUUCGAGGCGCUAUCGGGUCUUAAAAUUAACUUUUCAAAGAGCGAAGUAAUUGUGACUGGGGUACCAGACUCUGAAGCUCAGAGAGUGGCGCAUCUUCUGAACUGCUCCCUUGGUUCUUAUCCUUUCAAAUACCUGGGCCUCCCAAUCUCCCCUCUCAAGCUAUUGGCAAAAGACUUUGCCCCGACAGUGACUAAAGUAGGGAACAGAGUCCUGCCAUGGAGAGGCCGUUAUAAUUCCCAGGCGGGCAAGGUCGCCCUCACUACUGCGUGCCUCUCCUCCCUUCCGAUGUUUCUAAUGGGCUUUUAUCUCCUGUCUGGAGGGACUCACACUGGUUUCGACAAGCAUAGGGGUGCUUUUUACUGGAACUCCUCUGACAAUAAACGCAAAUAUAGGAUGGUUAAGUGGGAUCUAAUUUGUAGGCCUAAGAACAUGGGGGGCCUAGGCAUCAUUAACACGAUGGUCAUGAACAAGUGCCUCAUGAUAAAAUGGUGGUGGAAAAUUAUGUUCCUCGAGGAGCGCCCCACCUGGCUUUCUCUUCUCAAAGCUAAGUACUUCCCCUCCUCGAGCCCCAUGUUCGCCUCUUCCUCUGGUGGUUCUCAGUUUUGGCGUCAGCUUGGUAAAGUUCGCCCGAUUUUCCGGUCCCUCAUUAAGUUUGUAGUUCGGAAUGGUAAAUCCACUCGCUUUUGGUUAGAUUGGUGGGUUGGGGAUACCACUCUCGUGGUGGCCUACCCGACCCUGUUCUCGUAUUGCGCUGCUCCUGAGAUCUCUAUCUCUGAGCUCUCGGCUCACAAUUGGGACCUUGACUUCCGGUGA